Non-coding RNA from Oncorhynchus tshawytscha (Chinook salmon), 499 nucleotides. The record is from the annotation of a RefSeq genome assembly. Lineage: Eukaryota; Metazoa; Chordata; Actinopteri; Salmoniformes; Salmonidae.
UCACACUCUGCAGAUCACAGUACACUGUAUAUCACAUAUCAGUUUGGUAAACCCUCUUUCCUAGCUGCAUUCUGUCAAAUACACCAUGAUGUUGCUCAUUUCAAUCUUACUGUUUUCAGCACUUGUUGGUGAUACUUUAGAGGAUGAUAUUACUCCAACCAGCCCUGAGGAGUAUUAUUUAGACGGUAGCAGAGUUAAGAUCUCCUGUAACUAUACAGUAAAAUCAGAUAGUCUGCUGUGGUACAAACAGUACCCUGGAUCAGGUCUCCAAUUCCUUUAUAUAGUAACAACUACCAAUAUUCCAUAUGAAGUGAGAGGUGAUCCACAAGACUUUCGACUGACUGUUACACAGAACAAGGAGAGAACCCGUGUGGAUCUGGAGAUCUCUUCUGCUGAAGUGACAGACUCUGCUCUGUACUACUGUGCUCUGAGGCCCACAGUGACAGGAAACCCAGAAACACUGCACAAAAACCUAACAUCACCUGAGAGGAGUAUUUAA